CCUACGGGUGGCAGCAGUGGGGAAUAUUGCGCAAUGGGCGAAAGCCUGACGCAGCGACGCCGCGUGAGGGAUGAAGGUCUUCGGAUCGUAAACCUCUGUCAGCAGGGAAGAACGGUCACUGUGCUAAUCAGCAGUGAAUUGACGGUACCAUCGGAGGAAGCACCGGCUAACUACGUGCCAACAGCCGCGGUAAUACGUAGGGGGCGAGCGUUGUCCGGAAUUACUGGGCGUAAAGAGAGCGUAGGCGGCACUACAAGUCGCAUGUGAAAUACCCGGGCUUAACGUGGGGGUUGCAUGGGAAACUGGAGAGCGUGAGUACAGGAGAGGCAAGCGGAAUUCCGAGUGUAGCGGUGAAAUGCAUAGAUAUUAGGAGGAACACCAGUGGCGAAGGCGGCUUGCUGGACUGAAACUGACGCUGAGGCUCGAAAGCGUGGGGAGCAAACAGGAUUAGAUACCCGGGUAGUC
RNAcentral lists this ribosomal RNA (465 nucleotides) under uncultured bacterium. RNAcentral's name for it is "partial 16S ribosomal RNA". It matches the Rfam family "Bacterial small subunit ribosomal RNA", at positions 338 to 795 of the family's 1533-position model. The record is from RNAcentral.